UACGUAGGGGGCGAGCGUUAUUCGGAUUUACUGGGCGUAAAGCGCGUGUAGGCGGCUGGUUAAGCGUGAUGUGAAAUCUCCGGGCUCAACCCGGAAACUGCAUUGCGAACUGGCCUGGCUGGAGUGCAGGAGAGGGUAGUGGAAUUCCCGGUGUAGCGGUGAAAUGCGUAGAGAUCGGGAGGAACAUCAGUGGCGAAGGCGGCCUUCUGGACCAGUACUGACGCUGAGGCACGAAAGCGUGGGGAGCAAACAGG
RNAcentral lists this ribosomal RNA (254 nucleotides) under uncultured bacterium. Its description in RNAcentral is "partial 16S ribosomal RNA". It matches the Rfam family "Bacterial small subunit ribosomal RNA", at positions 524 to 776 of the family's 1533-position model. The record is from RNAcentral.